UACGGAGGGUGCAAGCGUUGUCCGGAUUUACUGGGUGUAAAGGGCGCGUAGGCGGAUCUGUAAGUCAGAGGUGAAAUCCUGCGGCUUAACCGUAGAACUGCCUUUGAUACUGCAGAUCUUGAGUUCGAAAGAGAGUAGCGGAAUUCCAGGUGUAGUGGUGAAAUGCGUAGAUAUCGGGAGGAACACCAGUGGCGAAGGCGGCUCUCUGGCCAGUUACUGACGCUCAUGCGCGAAAGCUGGGGGAGCGAACCGG
This 253-nucleotide ribosomal RNA is filed under the name uncultured microorganism. RNAcentral describes it as "partial 16S ribosomal RNA". It matches the Rfam family "Bacterial small subunit ribosomal RNA", at positions 524 to 776 of the family's 1533-position model. The record is from RNAcentral.